RNAcentral lists this transfer RNA (84 nucleotides) under Teichococcus cervicalis. RNAcentral describes it as "tRNA-Leu". It matches the Rfam family "tRNA". From Rfam's summary of the family: Transfer RNA (tRNA) molecules are approximately 80 nucleotides in length. Their secondary structure includes four short double-helical elements and three loops (D, anti-codon, and T loops). Lineage: Bacteria; Pseudomonadati; Pseudomonadota; Alphaproteobacteria; Acetobacterales; Roseomonadaceae. The record is from RNAcentral.
GCGGGCGUGGCGAAACGGUAGACGCAGCAGACUUAAAAUCUGCUUCCCCCUUGGGGAGUGCGGGUUCGAAACCCGCCGCCCGCA